CAUGCUCCAAAACGUCUGUUAGUCUAUAAGGUGCCACAGGAUUCUUUGCUGCUUUUACAGAUCCAGACUAACACGGCUACCCUCUGAUUGUUGAGAUGGCUUCCUUUCAGGUAAUGGGACAUUGAUCGGAGCAUCUGCAAAUGUGGUUUGUGCAGGAAUUGCAGAACAGCAUGGCUAUGGCUUCUCUUUCAUGGAGUUUUUCAGGUUGGGUUUCCCCAUGAUGAUUGUGUCCUGUACUAUUGGGAUGUGUUAUCUCCUUGUUGCUCAUGUCGUAUUGGGUUGGAACUCUUAAUAAUUUAUACUUUCAAGACCAAAAGAAGCUUUCUGUCUCGUUCAAUCUAUACAUCAGAGCACUAAGAAGACAUCAUUGAAAAGAAGAAAAAACCCACUUUAAAAAGCGACAUAUUGGUUAAAAUGAUUGGCAGUCUUAGUUUUUGUCAUUCAUAACCUUAUGCUCUGUGAACAAUUUGCAGAGCUGAGUACUGAAGUUUAAUGGAUUCAAAUUUUUUGUCAUAGUCAAUAUUAAUAAGCAUAUAAAGAGAUACCAUCACAAGGGAAUAUCUUGUGUCCUGAAACUUCGUCUCAUCA
This 588-nucleotide long non-coding RNA is filed under the name Gopherus agassizii (Agassiz's desert tortoise). Its description in RNAcentral is "lncRNA (ENSGAGG00000024453.1)". The record is from RNAcentral. Lineage: Eukaryota; Metazoa; Chordata; Testudines; Testudinidae.